AGAGUUUGAUCCUGGCUCAGGACGAACGCUGGCGGCGUGCCUAACACAUGCAAGUCGAGCGGGGUUCCCUUCGGGGAACUUUAGCGGCGGACGGGUGAGUAACACGUGGGUAACCUGCCUCAUAGAGGGGAAUAGCCUCCCGAAAGGGAGAUUAAUACCGCAUAACAUUAUGCUGUCGCAUGACAGUGUAAUCAAAGGAGUAAUCCGCUAUGAGAUGGACCCGCGGCGCAUUAGCUAGUUGGUGAGGUAACGGCUCACCAAGGCGACGAUGCGUAGCCGACCUGAGAGGGUGAUCGGCCACAUUGGAACUGAGACACGGUCCAGACUCCUACGGGAGGCAGCAGUGGGGAAUAUUGCACAAUGGGCGAAAGCCUGAUGCAGCAACGCCGCGUGAGUGAAGAAGGCCUUCGGGUUGUAAAGCUCUGUCUUUUGGGACGAUAAUGACGGUACCAAAGGAGGAAGCCACGGCUAACUACGUGCCAGCAGCCGCGGUAAUACGUAGGUGGCAAGCGUUGUCCGGAUUUACUGGGCGUAAAGGAUGCGUAGGUGGAUAUUUAAGUGGGAUGUGAAAUACCCGGGCUCAACUUGGGUGCUGCAUUCCAAACUGGAUAUCUAGAGUGCAGGAGAGGUAAGUGGAAUUCCUAGUGUAGCGGUGAAAUGCGUAGAGAUUAGGAAGAACACCAGUGGCGAAGGCGACUUACUGGACUGUAACUGACACUGAGGCAUGAAAGCGUGGGGAGCAAACAGGAUUAGAUACCCUGGGUAGUCCACGCCGUAAACGAUGGGUACUAGGUGUGGGAGGUAUCGACCCCUUCCGUGCCGCCGUUAACACAAUAAGUACCCCGCCUGGGGAGUACGGUCGCAAGAUUAAAACUCAAAUGAAUUGACGG
Molecule: ribosomal RNA, 890 nt
Filed under: uncultured bacterium
Lineage: Bacteria
Description: bacterial SSU rRNA
Rfam family: Bacterial small subunit ribosomal RNA
Source: RNAcentral